Molecule: ribosomal RNA, 468 nt
Filed under: uncultured bacterium
Lineage: Bacteria
Description: partial 16S ribosomal RNA
Rfam family: Bacterial small subunit ribosomal RNA
Source: RNAcentral
GACGAACGCUGGCGGCGUGCUCAACACAUGCAAGUCGAACGGAAAGGCCCUGCUUUCGUGGGGUGCUCGAGUGGCGAACGGGUGAGUAACACGUGAGUAACCUGCCCUUGACUUUGGGAUAACUUCAGGAAACUGGGGCUAAUACCGGAUAGGAGCUCCUGCUGCAUGGUGGGGGUUGGAAAGUUUCGGCGGCUGGGGAUGGACUCGCGGCGUAUCAGCUUGUUGGUGGGGUAGUGGCUUACCAAGGCUUUGUCGGGUAGCCGGCCUGAGAGGGUGACCGGCCACAGUGGGACUAGGCUACAGCCCAGACGGCUACGGGCGGCAGCAGUAGAAGAUAUUGCACAAUGCGCGGGAGUCUGAUGCAGCAGCGCCGCGGCCGGGAAGACGGCCGUCGGGUUGUAAGCCGCUUGCGCCUGUGACGAAGCGUGAGUGACGGUAAUGGGUAGAGAGUCACCGACUAAUGACGUG